This 172-nucleotide ribosomal RNA is filed under the name uncultured bacterium. Its description in RNAcentral is "partial 16S ribosomal RNA". It matches the Rfam family "Bacterial small subunit ribosomal RNA", at positions 335 to 524 of the family's 1533-position model. The record is from RNAcentral.
ACUCCUACGGGAGGCAGCAGUGGGGAAUCUUGCGCAAUGGGCGAAAGCCUGACGCAGCCAUGCCGCGUGAAUGAUGAAGGUCUUAGGAUUGUAAAAUUCUUUUAGCAGGGACGAUAAUGACGGUACCUGCAGAAAAAGCCCCGGCUAACUUCGUGCCAGCAGCCGCGGUAAU